This 425-nucleotide ribosomal RNA is filed under the name uncultured bacterium. Its description in RNAcentral is "partial 16S ribosomal RNA". It matches the Rfam family "Bacterial small subunit ribosomal RNA", at positions 354 to 796 of the family's 1533-position model. The record is from RNAcentral.
GUGGGGAAUCUUGCGCAAUGGGCGAAAGCCUGACGCAGCCAUGCCGCGUGAAUGAUGAAGGUCUUAGGAUUGUAAAAUUCUUUCACCGGGGACGAUAAUGACGGUACCCGGAGAAGAAGCCCCGGCUAACUUCGUGCCAGCAGCCGCGGUAAUACGAAGGGGGCUAGCGUUGCUCGGAAUUACUGGGCGUAAAGGGCGCGUAGGCGGACAGUUUAGUCAGAGGUGAAAGCCCAGGGCUCAACCUUGGAAUUGCCUUUGAUACUGGCUGUCUUGAGUACGGGAGAGGUGAGUGGAACGCCGAGUGUAGAGGUGAAAUUCGUAGAUAUGCGGAAGAACACCAGUGGCGAAGGCGACUCACUGGCCCGUUACUGACGCUGAGGCGCGAAAGCGUGGGGAGCAAACAGGAUUAGAAACCCCAGUAGUCC